Rhipicephalus sanguineus (brown dog tick) is the source of this 202-nucleotide long non-coding RNA. RefSeq lists it as uncharacterized. NCBI's taxonomy places the organism in Eukaryota, Metazoa, Arthropoda, Arachnida, Ixodida, Ixodidae. The record is from RefSeq and is a predicted model, not a curated record. The transcript has 3 exons.
GUAUGCCCUAUGGAAGCAUCAUGGACAGUGGAACACAAUCCUUCAGCACUCACCAACACAUCGGAUAACAGCAUUCAUUUCGUGGAGUCGGACUUCGCCAUUGGCUGCAAUGCAGAAGUUGGCACAGACACCGGAGCAUGCGGUGACAUGUCCCUCACUCAUCUGACUGCCGGUUGCAAGCCUAAAGAGAGUGCCAGAAGUG